Molecule: ribosomal RNA, 580 nt
Filed under: uncultured bacterium
Lineage: Bacteria
Description: bacterial SSU rRNA
Rfam family: Bacterial small subunit ribosomal RNA
Source: RNAcentral
CCUACGGGAGGCAGCAGUAAGGAAUAUUGGACAAUGGCCGCAAGGCUGAUCCAGCCAUCCAGCGUGCAGGAAGAAGGCCCUAUGGGUUGUAAACUGCUUUUAUCAGGGAAGAAACCUCUGGAUUUACUCCGGAGCUGACGGUACCUGAAGAAUAAGCACCGGCUAACUCCGUGCCAGCAGCCGCGGUAAUACGGAGGGUGCGAGCGUUAUCCGGAAUUACUGGGUUUAAAGGGUGCGUAGGCGGCUAUGUAAGUCAGGAGUGAAAGUUUGCGGCUCAACCGUAAAAUUGCUUUUGAUACUGCAUAGCUGGAAUUAGGAUGAGGUCAGCGGAAUGUGGCAUGUAGCGGUGAAAUGCAUAGAUAUGCCAUAGAACACCAAUUGCGAAGGCAGCUGACUAGACCUGGAUUGACGCUGAGGCACGAAAGCGUGGGGAGCGAACAGGAUUAGAUACCCUGGUAGUCCACGCCCUAAACGAUGCUUACUCGACGUAUGGCACUAGAUGUUGUGCGUCCAAGGGAAACCGUUAAGUAAGCCACCUGGGGAGUACGACCGCAAGGUUGAAACUCAAAGGAAUUGACGG